Molecule: ribosomal RNA, 31 nt
Filed under: Yamadazyma aaseri
Lineage: Eukaryota; Fungi; Ascomycota; Pichiomycetes; Serinales; Debaryomycetaceae
Description: [Candida] aaseri partial 26S ribosomal RNA
Source: RNAcentral
UCAAUCAGGUAAGAUACCGUGAACUAAGCAU